UUCCAUCUCACCGUGCUGACCAGCGGCUCUGGGAUUCCAUCUCACCGUGCUGACCAGCGGCUCUGGGAUUCCAUCUCACCAUGCUGACCAGUGGCUCUGGGAUUCCAUCUCACCGUGCUGACCGACAGCUCUGGGAUUCCAUCUCACCGUGCUGACCGGCAGCUCUGGGAUUCCAUCUCACAUUGCUGACUGACGGCUCUGAGAUUCCAUCUCACCGUGCUGACCGGCGGCUCUGGGAUUCCGGCUUACCAAUAAUCAAUAGUCUAGGUGGCACAUUGCCUCCAGUAAACUCUUCAAUAGCAUGUAAUGGUGUGAGAGGACUGUCCACAGAGCUGACACUUGAUCUCCCUGUAAUCCACUGUAAGCGACCUACCCAGCCUCUGCCUGUGUUACAAUGAACCCAAUUGCACAAUACACAGAGCUCUUAUCAGCUCCAUCUACCAAAACUAAGUACUUCAUGGCGAUGUUGGAGGAAAGGUUUUACAGUUUCAGACAAUGAAAAAACCAAUGCCGGUCAAGGUUUGUGUUGUGACACUUUGCAGGGAAAGUACAGUUGCAAGAAAAAGUAUGUGAACCCUUUGGAAUGAUAUGGAUUUCUGCA
This is a non-coding RNA of Pelobates cultripes (western spadefoot toad), 601 nucleotides long. The record is from the annotation of a GenBank genome assembly. NCBI's taxonomy places the organism in Eukaryota, Metazoa, Chordata, Amphibia, Anura, Pelobatidae.